This 901-nucleotide long non-coding RNA is filed under the name Heterocephalus glaber (naked mole-rat). RNAcentral describes it as "lncRNA (ENSHGLG00000046011.1)". The record is from RNAcentral. Lineage: Eukaryota; Metazoa; Chordata; Mammalia; Rodentia; Bathyergidae.
CCCUCCAGCCCCUGUGUACGAGGAGAGAGAGCUUGGAGGAGUUAGGACCUCUGUCCUCUUCAGGGCCAGCCUGAGUGAACCUGACUCCCUACCAGCAACUUGUCUCCUGGAUGUUGACUGUAGCACCAACAAACACUGUACAGAGACGCUGACAGCAGGGAAGCUGGGUGAAGGAUAAGGGGGAGUCCUUGGAGCAGUCGCUGCCGCUUUCUGCCAGUCUGAAAUGAUUCCGUGUGAAAAGGUGCUGUUGGAGAGAACAAAGCUGCCCAGAGAAUGAAAACGUGCAUAAUGAAAAAGACAGCUCAGCGCAAAGCAGUUCUGGUUGUGGGCUGGUGGGGGAGCAAUGGAGAGAGCUAGUGUCCUGAGCUCUGCAGGGAGCAGGUCCAUGCCUGGCUGGAGCUAUCAAGGGAAGCCGCUCACAGGCCAUGGAUGGGCUAGGGCAGGCAGGUCCUGGUCCAGGGUGCAGUUUGAGAAAAGGGAUGGGAGGGUCCUCUAGAGAUGAUAAGGCCCUUCAGCGAGCUCAGCCAGACUAUGGCUAAGGUCACAAGGGCCCGCUGCUGUGUGUGUCUGGCAUUGGAGUCUUCAAGAAAGGCACAGCACCCACAGUCUUAAAGAGUGCAGAAUUCUAAUGAAGGGUCUGAUACUAGAGUUUCCCCCAGAGGGACUCGGCUCAUCCCGGGGUUUUUUCUGGUCUUUUUGUUGCUGACAGUCAAGCCCCACACCAGUCUGAGCCAGGCUGGUCUGGCUUUUCUGAAAGUGCCAUGAUUAGAUCUAGAGAAUUCUGCCCAACGGGAAGGAACCAGCAAAGAGAGGAGAGCGAGGCUGGUACCAAAGGGAGGGCGCAGGAGGCAGGUGCAGACCUCCCAGGCAGCAGCCCCUGCCAGCCCUCCCGUCCUCACAG